CGGGUGGAGCCUCCCGUCGCGCGAAGCGCCGGAGGAGGUGGGUGUUGGGGCGGUGCUGAGGGCCUGGGCAGCCCCGGGGUGGGGGCUGUGGCGGUAGAGGGCGGCUGCGGGGCCGCUGUGCUGCGGGUUGUGAAGUAUUAAUCCGCGGAGGUUGCUCUUAAAGCUUCCAGCUGGCUCUUGAAGCAGUUGGUUGUCAGCGGAGCGGCUGGAACGAGAGUUGCAAGCCCGGAGGAGGCCGCCGGAGCCGGCUGUGAAGCCCCGGUGUUUGUGUCGGUUACAGUGUGGUUGAGGUGGCUUCCCAACAUCCUGCAGCCUGAGCGCAGAGGUCUGUGCUUUGCUGCGUCUGCGUGCCUCACAGCAGUGCGUUUGGAAGCGGCAGGCUGUGGGUGGGGGCAGCUGUGUUUCCCUCGGGCAGCGCUGCGCGGUGCUGGGAGCCGCUGCUGCGGGCUGAGCCUCUCCGGCGCUCCUACCGCGCCGUGCCCGCGCAGCGGCGGCUCAGGGCGCUGGGGCCCGGCGGGGGUUGCUUGGAGCCAAACGUGCAGCCACCAGCUGUGUCUUCUUGCCGUUUGUUUUGACAAGGUGAAGUGGUUCGUGUGGCAGGGAGGAUUACCAGUCCCCUCACUGACAACGGGAGUAAACAGCUUAUAAAUAAUGAGGAUGCGCUCACGGUCAUUAGCCGGGCGUGUUGGUAAUAGUUCUCGUGGAGCCAUGUGACUGGAUUUCUAUCACAUGUGGGGAGGAAAGGGAGGAGGAGGUGAAUUGCUACUUAUUUUUUUUUCUAUUUUGUCUGCUAGGAUAUAAAACAGUUCAAGGGAAGCUCAGAAGGCUGUGUGUUAUUCAAAGUGCUGCUCUUAGUGCUGCUGAUGAAGCAGGAAUCCUGCAGGCCUCUGCUUUUCUCAGUGACCUGAAGUGGAGGAGAGGAGAAGCCAGUGCCAGUCCCCAAGGCAGUGAGCUGCAUAUGUGAGCGGGGCAUCUUGCACUUGGACCUCAGCAUCAGGAGAAUCCUGCUCCAUUCUCUGAAAGGACACAGCGAAUAGAGAGCUUACAGUUCCAAGAAGUGUCAGAGCGAAGCAAGGAGAAACUGGGAGAAGGUACUGAAGCUGUUUGCUGAAUAAAUGUUCUUCUCUUAGUUUCAUUUGGCCUCUCCUGUGGAUGAAUGCUGUUGUUCAGAACAGAAAACUUGGAGUAACUGUUGGAUCAAACAGCUUGCUGUGAUGUGAACUUUCCAGCAGAUAUUUACAGAGGGGAGUGAUCAGUAGUCCAAGAACAGAGUGCUGCUUGGCACUAGAGAAGAACAGCCUCUUUCCACUUCUGAUUCUGCUGGAAGUGCAAAUGAGCACGUGUGGCGUCCGUCUCAAUUUGUUUGGGUGCUCGAAGAAAAAUCCAGUCUGAGGAAGCCUCUGGGAAUAGACAGGUGAGAAAUCUGCCAGCCAGAAUUUGGCAAUCUUUUAAUACAAUAAGUAUAACCAGCUUCUGGGUGUUGUUAACUUUAAUUUGUCCAAGUUUUAAAGCCUUCAUUAAGUUUGAAACGUAUUCCUCAAUUCUCUUUGCAAGCAAAAUGAAAUGAAAUAUUUCUUUAUUUCUGUACUUGUGCAUAGCAGGUGUUUGCAAAAUGCUAAUAGUCAGCAGGAUUUCCUAAUUUUCAAGAUGCUUCUUGUUCAGUUGUGCUCUUAGCCAAAUGGGUCUCCUGACCUGGCAGGUGGGGUGGCUGUGGGACUGGGCUGCCAGAACUGGUGUGUGGAGGGCAGCAGGGGUGUGUGGCUGGAGUAGCUCACCUCACUUCUGACUCCAUUAGUUCCCAGAAGAACUUGAAAAAGCACAGGAUUUUUGGUUGGUUUGUUUUUAAAAUACCAUUUAAACAAUAGCUCUAUAAAAUAGAGAAUUGUUUUUAGUUGCAGUACAACAGCCUAAUCGAUAUCUUGCCUGCCACAACUUGAGCCUUGCUGAAGUGUCCCUUUCUAAGAAAGUUUUCUGCCCUCUGCCAUGGUGAUAGGUAUACAGUUCUUUGGUUUAAGACCUAGUAAUUGGUUGCUCUAAUAUGUCUGAGUUUUGGAUUUGUCUCUUUUAGAUGUUUUUUGUUUUUGGUGUGGUGGUGUGGAUUUUUUUGGCUUUUUUUCUUGGCUUUUUUUUUUCUUCCUAUCUCUGGGAUUUUGUGGACAACUGCUGUUCUCCAAAAACUGAAAUGGACUGGGAGGAACACCUAAUCACAAGUAUUAGAUUGCACCUUCUCAACCCUCCAUGUACAGUAUACAUUUGAAAACAUAAUGGCUGAGUUCAUUCAGUCUUUCUGUGGAUCUUAAAUCAUGAUCUUAAGCUACCAGAAACUAGAAUUUAGAAAAGCACCACAGGCCCUGAAAUAUCAAAACUCAAUUCUCUUUCUUCCUGUUAGGUUUUUAGGAGGUUGUUGGAAAGCUGUACUAUGCAGACAUGCUUUUAUUUUCUCAUGUUUCUCCCCUUUUACAACGGAACUUAUUCUUUCUGUUGCCAUAUGAUUUUGUUGGCUUGAUUGCAUUUCAGAACUGGGGCUGUGCAAUUACUGGCUAGAGCUGUGAGGCAAGAUUUUCUUUUCAUCUAAAUAUUUUCCUUCCACAGCUCUCCAGCACUGCUUGUCUCUUUGAGAUUUGAUCCAGUUCUGCUGCGUGGGAAAGAGGGGUUUGUUCAAAAAACAAGCUACAAAACCAGUCAUCAAAUAAGAAAUGUAGCAGCAACACCCAGUAUUUUGGGAAUAUUCUGGCUGUGAAACAGUAAUGUCAGUGAUAUGUUAUUCCUUUAGCUUUAGAUCUGUUGGCAAGGUAGAAAGCUGGUGGUGUGAUUGUUCUGUUACGCUGUAAAAUCAGGAAUGAUGGUGGCAUUCUUCUCUCUAGUCUGGGGGUGUUCAUCAGCUCUGUGGGUUCUCAAGGCUCAUCUUUUGCUUCUGUACUUCUGUCCUACAGCUGUUUUACCCUGUGUGUGGGACUCCCCAGCACCUGUAUUGUUUUCUUCCUUCUGCUGUGUUGCAUUAUUCUUCUUGCUCCAUCCAUGGUACAAGAGUUAUAUGGAAGGUAACACCAGCAGUGUCCCCAGUGGGUUAAAAUGAUGAAAGACAGCAAAACUUCUAUCAUCCAGAUCCAAUAAUCUUUAGCAUGUUUAUGUAGGGAUAUGGUGAAUCCAUGGGAUAUGAUGAAUACCCAGUGUACCUAGACCUUUCCUUUCCUGUCCUUUGUGAAUAGCUUUGUGAACAGCUUUGUUCUGCAUGAGCUGAAGUGAAUGAAGUCUGACAAUGUGAGGUGCCCCUGUAAAGGAGCUGCCUGCCACUUAGGCUGUGCUUGAGGACUGCAUUCCACACCAAGUGCAUAAGGAACAAAGAACUGAGGCUGGCUGAUACUGCCAUCAUGCUGUUCCUAAACUGAUCCAGCUGGUUUGUCCAGGAGCCGGAAUUCAGGUCUUAGUGCCUGAGUGCAGAAUUUGACAUUGGAUGCCUGAGUAUUUAUAUAUGUUUCCCAUCAUGUUUCUAAUUAUUCAUGCUGAAAUAACUGAGCUUUUUGAUUAUGCAGCAUAGCUUCCCGUGCACUUGUUUCUGAGGCACAGCAAGCCAUGGUUUAGGAAGAUCAUUUUCUGAAUAAGUCCCUUGAGAAUGGAAGUACAUGGAAAACAUCCAUUUCCUAAACAUAGUUUGGACAGCAUUCAUUGGCAAAGCAAGUGAGGGAGCUUCCCCAGGACCCUGGCAUGCACACUGCAUGAUACAGACUAGACACAGCAGUUGGUGUAACUGUGGAUAGAUAGAUGGAUAGUUAAUAUGAGCAGCAAUAAAGCAGAUGAUUUAGUCUUCUGCAGGGUUGUAUGCCCAUUAUUGUUAAGCUACCAGAGUUUUAGUCCUUGCCUUUUGAGGGAAAACACUUGGAUGCUGUGAAGUGGCAUGCAGAUAGCUUAUUUCAGGGCUUGUGAUGCUGGCAGUAUUCUGUAGUUGUUUUUCUGUAUAGCUGUCUUGCAAGGUGGUGUAUAUGAUGCCUGUCUCUGCAUGCUUAGAGUGAAGCCAUCAAGGAUUUCCUCGACAGUGAUGAGUGUGUCUUGUUGAGGAGUUGAUGAGACUGCCUGCAGGGAAAAUGGCUUUUACAGCACUCUGUUCUUACCUGAGAAGAAGAAAGUGGGUGUACUGUAGGGCAAAAUCUGUAGUUCUCCAGCAUAGAGCAAUCUGCUGUGGAAGCUGCCUAUGUCUCUAUGUAGCUCCCAUUGAAUUGAAAUUCAGCAGGCAAUCAACUGAACUUUUUACUUGUUUGUGUAGCGGAUGUACUUUUUCCUCCAGAAGAAGGAACACUGCAGACAUGCUUUGGUAAUACACUUAGGGGAGAUGAGGAUACCCAGAUGAGCCCUUUGGUCUGAGAGAUGUGACCUCUGGGAGACUGGGAGAAGGGUUAGGCAAGGGGAAAGGAGUUUGUUCAUUCCUUCUUUCUGUCGCUGACUUUCAUGUUAAUCCUUGUGCUUUUUCAUGGAUUUUUGAUUUCAGCAAAAAGUUCUCAAGAAAUUUAAGUACUGUAUUGAUAUCUACAGAGGGUACAUAAAGUAACCUUUUUGAAAAAUAACAUCUACUACAAUAUCAAUUUUUAAAAUGUUGUAAAUAAAAAGGUGUACUGCUGUGGCCGUCUGUUUAUGCUGCUCUUUGAGACUGCAAGAACCAUGUUCAUAAAGGGAAAGUCCUUUGUGUGUUUGUAUCUUAUCUGUGAUCUCUGAGGUUCUGCGUAACAAUAAAUUGAAAGGUUUCUGAUGGAAUGUAUGUGCAUGUAGAUGUUCGAGAAGAUUUUUACAGCAAGCAGCAUGGAAAGUAUCCAGGAAGUGUUACAAUAGGAUUUGAAACCCAUGUGUUGGCUGUGCUCUCUAUGGUGGUUAAUGUCAGUGUUCCACCAGUAGCCUGGUUGUCAAAGCCAUCAGACUGCUAAAUGCUCUUCCUGAGAAACCUGGAGAGAGUUAGGCGGCUUCUUUCAACACUGGUUGCUUUACUCUGUAACGGAAAUUAAUUUUGGGAUAAUAUGUAAAUGUCAUUGUGUCUUGAAGGAGCUGAAGUUCUGCAUAGCUACAGAAUGUUGGCAACUUCUUAUGCGACCUGACAGUUGUGCUCUAUUGCUGGAGAGUGAAAGGUGAACUAUUGAGUAUGCAUCCUUGUUUAGUGGGGGACUAAAACAUUUGUAGAAAUCCAGUGAGUCCUGCUUAUGUAUUUCAGUCAGUGAAUAAGCCCUUGGCUACCCUGGUGUUUGUGUGCCAGCUUGUUCUGGUUCAGUCAAAUGGGUUUAAAAACUGUCAGAUUGUAUUUCACUGCUUCCAAAAUAGCAAUUUUAUCCUCCCUCUUCAGGAAGUUUAUUUUUUUAACAUCUUGUGACUAUGCAAGAAAAUUUUUAUAGUUAGGGUCAAAUAGCCGGUCAGUCUGAACAGAGUGUUUACGUUUAGAAUGAGAUUCACUGCUUUGAGAACGAUGUACAAAAUCCAUUGCAUCAUUUGCACUGAGAAGUUCAGGUGGAUUUCAUGCAGAUGGAGGUGUGUGCACCAGUUACCUUUCAAACAGCACUCAGGGCUUUGCUGCUGAAUAGCAUUCAGCGUGUGCCAGUUGCAAUUUUCAUUGCAAUUGGGCAACGUGUCUCUGAAUUGUUAACCCCAGCCUCCCCAGGAAGAUUUAGCAGUAGAUUUUGCCAGCAUUCUGCUUCUGCUCUUACCGACCUCCUUAUAAUUGAAGGGGAAGUUAAGUAUUUUCUUCUCACUGAGAGUUUUGUGCAAACUGAGUGUUUUAUGGCUUCUUUGUGCCUCUGAAAAUUACCUCUUCAUACUUUUGUAGCUUAUAGUUCAGUAAUUUGAGCUUUUUUAAUACUGCUAAGCAAGAAGUGCAGUCUCCUGAGAGUACUUACCUGACAGCACUUUAUUCUGUUUGAAUUUAAAGGUGUACUAAUAUUUUGUCUGUGGUUAUUUGGCUUUUUUGUCUGAUGAAGUUUUGAGCAUUAGCUGUUUUCAUUACAUCUGGAGAACUUCAGCUCCAUAAUUUUGAAUUCUCAUCCUUUUAGAAUUCUAUUAGAAUAACUGGAGUAAAUGGAACAGAUAGAAAAAUAGGGGGAUAAUUACAUUGUUGUAACUAUGUCAUCAAAAGUAAAAGAUCCCCUGUAGUUGUGCUGGUUGCACAAUUAGUGGUUGUGGUCUGAAUAGUAUGGGACUAUAAAGAGAUAUGUGCACAACCUAAAAAUUGAAUUUACAAAGCAUUAGCUCUGUGGCCAUAGUAACUUACUUCACUCGGGAAGUAGGAAAGGGUCUGCAUCUUUAAUGUCUUAUGUUCUUGUUUGUCCUAUUGGGGUAAACAGCCAAAGGGGCAAGUCUGAGCAGUCUGAGAGGCAAAACAGUGGUAUGCUUUGGGAAUGAGAGAGAUGAUAUGGCCUCUUGUAGAGCAGUUCUUGGGACCUAUCCCUUGCAAUAUGGGGAAUUUCUUUCCAGAAACAUUAUGGAGCCUUUGAGCUUAGGUUUAAACAAGACUGACGUGUAUCCUCUGUGUUUUCAUACAGUAAAAGGGGAAAAGAACACUUUUUAUUAAAACUGUAUUUGGCUAGUCCUGCUGUUUUUCAUGCUAUCUUGCAUGCCUUUUAGAUCUGUUAAGAUCUUAUCUUACAUCCAAGUCACUUCUCAAUUGAUUUAGUGCUGGAUGCAUUGUGCUUAGUUUGAUCUGGAUAAGCAGAUCAAAGUAACAAAGUGCUGUGCAGUGUCAGACAGAUACAGCAGAAGAGAGAAGCGAAAGUGUAAGGCAGCGAGCUGUGAUGUGAGCGUGCUGUGGGGCUGAUGGCUGUCACAGUCUGGUGCAGGCUAAAGCUCAGUGCCUGCCUUGGUACCUGACAGGGCCCAUAGAGGAGCCCCAAGCCUUGGCACUGUGGGUACAGCGUAGAGCCCAGAGCUGCUGCCCAAGUACAUUGCUGUGGGGAGAGGUGGGGGGGACGUCUGCAGCCUUCAGGCACGUGAGCAUUGCCCUGUGCACCCCUUGACACCCCUCUGCUUUUCCUUAGAGUGGACUUUGGCUGUAGCUACUUUAACACAGUCCUGUGACAAUCUGAGGUUGGAACCAGUUGCCAGGGAAGGGGGGGAAGGAGCCUACCUCAUUAAUGAGAACAAGCCUUUGGGACUGUUCUGCUUCCCAGAGCUCUCCUGGUAAAGGACUUGGCUGUGGGAACAGCUUUGUUUGUGAUCCAGCUACGGUGGAGGUUUUGGCAGGAAGGACUACAGAGCUGUCAUCCAAGAUUUUGAUGUUUUCAGGAUGAAAACCAAGUCUGAUCUGUUCUUAAUGCUGAGGCCGUCUUUGUGAUGCAGAACACCCGCACUCAGUCUGACUGUUUUGCUGGGAAUCAUGUGUUAAGCACACACUUCUGAUUUGCUUUGGAAAGGCUAAAUUAGGGAAUUCUGAGAGCUCAUGAAAGCUUAUCAACCUAGGGAUGGCCUGCUUUUCUGUUCAGGUUAGGCUACUUUUUGUCAAAACACUGUCUAGAAAGUUGAGCUGGAAAUGCUUAUAAGGAAACACAUGGAGAUGUGUGUAGAGGCUGUACUGUUGGAGCUAAGGCUGGGCUGGCCAUUAUGCAUAAGGAAGACUCAUUUUAGGUCCCACUUUAUUUGGUCGAAGGGCAGAAAGAUGGAAAAAACGAUGAGAAACUUAUUUUCUCAGAAACCAGGCAUUUCUUUCUUCCAUGUGCUCACUUAAGGAGCCUCUUUUCCUGUGGGAGGCAUCCUACAAAAAUAAGAGCUCCUGAAGAAAAGCACUGUCUGUGCUCACAGUACUGCGAUCACAGCAAAUGACCAGUCAGGUUGCUUUGGUCUGGACUCAUGCUGUCAUGGUGACCUGUGUUGUACUUUGACUGGAUAGCUGGGAAAUAUGAAAUUAACACUGAAGGUGCUAUUUCUGGAUAAUGAUAUCUGAAAAAAAUACUGCCUUUGGAGUCAGUGGGCACUUCUGCCUUCCUGUAAGGAGUAUAGGGAAGAGAUGCCACACUGAAGUGAGUAAUAGUCAAUAGGAUAAAAACCAAACUGAUUAGGGAAAGGUGGGUGGCUGAACAGGAAGGGAGCCUGGGCCCAGGAACUGUCACAGGCCCAUGGUUAGCAUCACAAGGCAGAUGCCAAUUAAAAUGACUUUUGGAAACAUGAGUGGCAGUUGUACAGGACCUACGUUUGCUCUGCCACGGAUUCUUUGCCCUGAAUCACUUCCUGCCAUGGAAGCUGGAUGGAUUGCAGUGCAGAGGUGUGUCAGCGGGGUUGGAAGCAGCGUGCAUAACGCUGGAAACGGGAGUAGCUGUUGGGAAAUUCAAGGUGCGGCCUGUAUGUCUCAGUAGGCAGGCUGUUUAAGCUGUCAGAAAUGUUUCUUCCUGUUCAAACAGGAAGAAGUCAAAUGCUCUGAGGACAGAGCAUGUCUGUUCUGAGUGAAGCUGGGAUUUGUACAGUUGUGUUCAUCUUGUCACAGUGUUUCACUGGUAUCUACAUGUGGGGCAGGCCUUGCUCUGCAUCUCCAGUACAGCAGCGUGUGUGGCUUUCCACAGAGCCCUUCACUGGUUGAGGUGAGAAGGACCCUCUGGAGGCCAUCAGGCCCAACCUCUGCUCCAGUGGGGACACCCAGAGCAGGGUGCCCAGCACCACCUCUAAGCAGGUCUCGUGUAUCUCUGGGAAGGGGACUUCACCACCUCCCUGGGCAGCCUACAGUAAUGCUCUGUCACCUGCACAGUGAAAAAGUGUUUCCUGAUGGUCAGAGGGAACAUCCUGUCUUCCUGUUUGUGUCCUUUGCUUCUUGUCCUUUUUCUGUCCUCCCACGCACCUGUUUGCAUUUGCUGAUGCUUACAGCAGCCUUAUCCUUAGGGGAACCCAGUUUCUAGGUAUGGUUACCUGUAGAAAAAAUGACAGCAUCAACAAAAAUGUUUAAAUUGUAAUUUACAGCUUUAUCGAUGAGAGGCUUCAGAGCUGUGUUUACUUAUUAAUAAUUAUUAGGAAUGACUGUUUCUCAGCUUUUGGUAAGUGGUGCAAGGUGAUGUAACCUGUGCCAGUGCUGGGAACAUAUUGCCAAGAGACAACAUUAUCUGCUUUCAUCCUGUGAACACUUGCAGAACUCCUGAUUCUGAAUUCCCCUCAGAUGGGGAAGCCCUGAAGGUAGGAGAGGCUCUGUGUGUAUUGGGGAGCUAACUUAGCCCUGUUGGUGUCUGUUUAGAAACCUGCUUCCUGCAGCAUUUGUAGGAAACCUGAAUAUUGUUUACAGAUCAGUGGCCAGCAUUAGUUCUUCCUGUGGUUAUGUUCAUCACUCUGUGUACUUUCGCUUUGAUGAGAACUCCUCUCUGCACACAAACUUGCCCAAUUGCUGUCUUGCAUCACUUUUAAGAAGUUUUCAAUGUGAAUUUGCUACAGGUCCAAAACAGGGCUUAGUUUAGCAACCUAAUAACUAGAUUCCAGUAAGAUCCUUGCCUGUUGAACGUGACUUGGAAUUGUUCUAGCACAAUUCCUUAAAACCUUGCCCAAUGUGAUUAAUAUUUCAAAGAACUUGAGCGUGCUCCGGAAGAGGGAGGGAGAAUGAGAUUUCCUGGAUAGGCCAAUUGAUGCAGCAGAGAUAGCUGUGAGGAAGCAGUGAAGAAAAUGUUUCUAAUAAUGUGUUACUACUGCUACCGAUGGGGUUGAGCUGAAUUUAUACAAAGCAACUUUUCUUUUUGCAAAUCGCUUUUGGAGAACUGACACCAGUCUUGAAUUGGAUCGGAGGCUCUGGUUUCAUCUGUGUGCUUGGAAGCUCUUGGUUGUUGUCACCUGCGUUAGUGGGUGACAAGGGGGAUUUUUGAUCUGAUCAGUGAAGCGUCAGAACAUUUUGCUUUUAAAGAUAGCUUUCCUGACAGCCAUAUCUGAUUCUUAACACUUGCAGAAACAAGAGUUUUAUUCAGAAAAGAAGCAUGGUAACUCAUGGGUUGGAUAGAGAUUUGCCUCUGGUUGAAUUUUCUGCUGUAGUGGGCUGAGUGGAACGAUGAAUAAUUCAAGAAGAGAUGAGACAAAUGCAGACUUAGACAUCAGCUGUUAGUCUCUGUGUGCUUGUCAGUAAAUAAACAUGCCAGGAUGGCAGUUACACUGUUAACACAGUGCAUGUAACUGCCUAAGUUACAGAAAUGCUGGGGAAACCUGAAACAUGGCAGGAUUUCUGUGUCGCUUUCUAUCUGGCAUUACCUGGUAAAGCCUGACAAGAGCGUUAUCUUGCUCUAACAAUGUCAGAUCAUAGCAUAGAAUAUCCUGUUGUGACUUACUGCUCAUCUCCCUAGGGCUUGGGUGAGUAUGUCUAAAAACAAACAAAAGGACCACAUAUAAAUGCUAAAUCAAUUCAGCUCUAAGCAUUUGUGUUUGAGUUGCAUUGGUCAAUUUCCCAGUUUCUUUAAAACAAGCUAUUGUUUCAGGCUGGUUUCGCUGUACAACAGUUUGCCCAUUGUUUGCUAUUGCUCAAACAGCAGCGAGAGCAGCAACUGACCUGGAUUGUGGAGAGCGUGCAGUGUUGCUUUGAGCUGUGGAUCCCAGAACAGCCCCAGAGCCCCCUUCUCCACCCCACUUGAAGAAAGGUGGGCAAAUGCUCAAGGGAGAAGCAAUUGUCUGCUCUUCAGAUUAGAAGCAGGCAGCAAGACAGCGAGAAGUCAAUGUAGGUAAAUAAAUAAUUUUACAACCAUAUGCUUACCUUUACAAUGAUGAAAGGCAUGUUGAUAAUCUUCACUGAGCCGUUAAACCCUUCUGUUAAAUGAUUUAUGUGCGGCUUGUGAAACCGUGGCACUGCUAAUAAAAUGUUUUAUGUACUGAAAUAGCAUUUCAUUUAUCCCUGAAGAUCUUUCUGUGCUAUAUGCUGCACCUGGAGGGAUCUAGAGCAUGGCUUUAAAACUCCUGUCAGUCAUCAGUUCACCAACUGGUCGCUUCAGGUCUGCGGGAGGGGAACUGAUAGCAGUCACUUCAGACAGCGCAAAGAAUUGGAGGAAUGACUUAGAAAAAUUGUCAUCAUUUUUUAAUAAAGCAACAAAAUAAUACUCUCCAGGGUUGCACGGGUGUCUGAACUGAAUGUUUGUUUUCAGAUGAGGGCAAACUUUUUAGGGCUCAAGGGGUGCUGCUUCCCCCAGGGAAAAGCCCAAAGGGGAGAGCUCCUCUUGUGUUUGUGAUGUUUGUGCUUUAUACUGCGGUGGUGAAAUCCUCCUGAUAUCUUCUGUGAGCUAGAGGGUUUCACAGGGAGCAACCUGCUGUAGCAGCACCCCGCUGUAACAGAAAUGUUCUGGUUUUUUUAUUGGGGUGCAUGUGAAAGUUCUGUGCCCUUUCCCUACAGCAUUUGCAUUGCUGCUGCAGCAGGUCACAAAACUGCUUAGUUCACAUCUUCCUAUAAACUUCUGAGGCUGUGUUAUAGCAGCAGUCUGUUAUGCUGCAGCUUUCACCUGGCAUCAUCUUUUC
RNAcentral lists this long non-coding RNA (11418 nucleotides) under Gallus gallus (chicken). Lineage: Eukaryota; Metazoa; Chordata; Aves; Galliformes; Phasianidae. The record is from RNAcentral.